UCUUAGUAUGUUUAAGAAAUCUCUGGCAUAAUCUUAAAAAAAUGCUUGUAAGAUUUUAUUUCGGGAAAUCCCGAAAUGGGUAAAAAAUCCAUGUAAUAAAUAUGUGCCUGAUUCAAGAUUUAUAUUUUGGGGAUUUUUCCCGAAAUGUUUAAAGAAAUUAUUAGUCGGGAGUUCUAGCAUAUUUGUAUGGUUUUCGGUAUACAUCCCCAAAUAUUUGAAGACAUUUUUGUAUACAUUUUCCACUUGCUGGUUUAUUUUUG
This 260-nucleotide long non-coding RNA is filed under the name Mytilus galloprovincialis (Mediterranean mussel). Lineage: Eukaryota; Metazoa; Mollusca; Bivalvia; Mytilida; Mytilidae. The record is from RNAcentral.